AGCUAGUUGGAGAGGUAAAGGCUUACCAAGGCGACGAUCUGUAGCGGGUCUGAGAGGAUGAUCCGCCACACUGGAACUGAGACACGGUCCAGACUCCUACGGGAGGCAGCAGUGGGGAAUUUUGGACAAUGGGGGCAACCCUGAUCCAGCCAUGCCGCGUGAGUGAAGAAGGCCUUCGGGUUGUAAAGCUCUUUCGGCCGGGAAGAAAUCGCAUGGGCCAAUACCCUGUGUGGAUGACGGUACCGGAAUGAGAAGCACCGGCUAACUACGUGCCAGCAGCCGCGGUAAUACGUAGGGUGCGAGCGUUAAUCGGAAUUACUGGGCGUAAAGCGUGCGCAGGCGGUUUUGUAAGACAGGCGUGAAAUCCCCGGGCUUAACCUGGGAACUGCGUUUGUGACUGCAAGGCUAGAGUACGGCAGAGGGGGGUGGAAUUCCACGUGUAGCAGUGAAAUGCGUAGAGAUGUGGAGGAACACCAAUGGCGAAGGCAGCCCCCUGGGUCGAUACUGACGCUCAUGCACGAAAGCGUGGGUAGCAAACAGGAUUAGAUACCCUGGUAGUCCACGCCCUAAACUAUGUCAACUAGGUGUUGGGUGGGUAAAACCAUUUAGUACCGUAGCUAACGCGUGAAGUUGACCGCCUGGGGAGUACGGCCGCAAGGUUAAAACUCAAAGGAAUUGACGGGGACCCGCACAAGCGGUGGAUGAUGUGGAUUAAUUCGAUGCAACGCGAAAAACCUUACCUACCCUUGACAUGCCAGGAACUUGCCAGAGAUGGCUUGGUGCCCGAAAGGGAGCCUGGACGCAGGUGCUGCAUGGCUGUCGUCAGCUCGUGUCGUGAGAUGUUGGGUUAAGUCCCGCAACGAGCGCAACCCUUGUCGUUAAUUGCCAUCAUUUAGUUGGGCACUUUAACGAGACUGCCGGUGACAAACCGGAGGAAGGUGGGGAUGACGUCAAGUCCUCAUGGCCCUUAUGGGUAGGGCUUCACACGUCAUACAAUGGUCGGUACAAGGGGUUGCCAAGCCGCGAGGCGGAGCCAAUCCCAGAAAGCCGAUCGUAGUCCGGAUUGCAGGCUGCAACUCGCCUGCAUGAAGUCGGAAUCGCUAGUAAUCGUGGAUCAGCAUGUCACGGUGAAUACGUUCCCGGGUCUUGUACACACCGCCCGUCACACCAUGGGAGCGGGUUCCGCCAGAAGUAGGUAGCCUAACCGCAAGGGGGGCGCUUACCACGGCGGGGUUCGCGACUGGGGUGAAGUCGGAACAAGGUAGCCGUAGGGGCCUGCGGCUG
This 1284-nucleotide ribosomal RNA is filed under the name metagenome. Its description in RNAcentral is "bacterial SSU rRNA". It matches the Rfam family "Bacterial small subunit ribosomal RNA", at positions 243 to 1520 of the family's 1533-position model. The record is from RNAcentral.